Non-coding RNA from Chrysemys picta bellii (western painted turtle), 351 nucleotides. NCBI's taxonomy places the organism in Eukaryota, Metazoa, Chordata, Testudines, Emydidae. The record is from RefSeq and is a predicted model, not a curated record.
UCUUUCUCCCCCGCAGGGAGGAGGCGCCGGGGGGGCAGCACAAGGAUGCAGGACGCCCGACCCCGCAGGUGCCCCCAGAUACCCAAGACCCCGCCCCCCAGGGGGGCCACCCAGUGCUGACGGGGUCCGGAGCCAACAUGGGGUCUGUGUCAGACCAGGACACCCCCAACCCCCUCUGGUCACGGCCGGGGGCUGUGAGCCUGGAGCCUAGAUCUGGGGAGCUGACAGCCCCAGGGGGACGGGCACCACCCCCCAGCCCCUCCCUCAGCCGGGAGCCCGGCCCCCCAGCUCUGCCCCCGGCCAGCGAGGAGGGGUGGGGAGGGGGGCGCAGCAGCUGGCAGGGGGCCCCGA